GUUACAGUCGCCUAAGGGAUGGGCAUCAACCUUCUAAGUUGU
RNAcentral lists this transfer RNA (42 nucleotides) under Euglena mutabilis. RNAcentral's name for it is "tRNA-Arg". Lineage: Eukaryota; Euglenozoa; Euglenophyceae; Euglenales; Euglenaceae. The record is from RNAcentral.